RNAcentral lists this ribosomal RNA (253 nucleotides) under uncultured bacterium. RNAcentral describes it as "partial 16S ribosomal RNA". It matches the Rfam family "Bacterial small subunit ribosomal RNA", at positions 524 to 776 of the family's 1533-position model. The record is from RNAcentral.
UACGAGAGGCCCAAACGUUGUUCGGAAUCACUGGGCUUAAAGGGCGCGUAGGCGGGCUGCCAAGUCCGGGGUGAAAUCCUCCGGCUUAACCGGAGAAUGGCCUCGGAUACUGGCGGCCUGGAGGGGGGUAGGGGCGUGCGGAACUGUGGGUGGAGCGGUGAAAUGCGUUGAGAUCCACAGGAACUCCGGUGGCGAAGGCGGCACGCUGGACCUUUUCUGACGCUGCGGCGCGAAAGCCAGGGGAGCGAACGGG